AGGACGAACGCUGGCGGCGUGCUUAACACAUGCAAGUCGAGCGGUAAGGCCCUUUCGGGGGUACACGAGCGGCGAACGGGUGAGUAACACGUGGGUGACCUGCCCCCUACUCUGGGAUAAGCCUGGGAAACUGGGUCUAAUACCGGAUAUGACUCAAGGCUGCAUGGUUUUGGGUGGAAAGCUUUUGUGGUGGGGGAUGGGCCCGCGGCCUAUCAGCUUGUUGGUGGGUGAUGGCCUACCAAGGCUUCGACGGGUA
RNAcentral lists this ribosomal RNA (256 nucleotides) under uncultured bacterium. RNAcentral describes it as "partial small subunit ribosomal RNA". It matches the Rfam family "Bacterial small subunit ribosomal RNA", at positions 26 to 285 of the family's 1533-position model. The record is from RNAcentral.